AAAAUCUGAACAAAAUGAGUGAGAACUCACUACCGUCUCCUCAUCGAAACUGAGGUCCAGCACGUUGCCUCCCUUGGGGUUAAGGGUGGGACUGGUUAGCAGUGAAUGCAUCUCCGACUGUGUCACACACAUGCAUGGAAGAGCCAGAUCACUGCCAUUUGUGAGGCUCCCGUCUGAGGGUGGGCCGUGUACAGAUGCUGGAGUGGCUCUUGGAAUGCGAGAUCUGUGGUGAAGGGCACUGGAGCAUAGAGGCAUCUGGCUUGUCCAGUGGUGGCAGGAGUCAGCAGUAGAUCCUGGCUGAGCUCUUGAGCUGUUCACUCGAAAAGGUGAAGUUCCCAAGUACGAGUGUCCGUCACACAAGAAACAGAGCCCCACUCGUGAGGUGGUGACUCGAGGUGCUAAGGAGUCCGGUGAGAAGUGUGGCGGGCCCAGGUUGCUGCCACUGCUUUUUGGAUCACUGAGCACGGUACGCCUUCCCCUGCCCCAAGACGUGUCAUGAAUUUCAGCUUUCCUGGGACUGCCUGAGUGGCUGUACAUAUGGAGGGACCGUUCCUCUUGCUGAGAAGCCUGAGGACUCUGAGUUCCCCUGGCUGCUGGAGGACUUCCAGGUCACUGGCUCUUCCUGGGAGCGGCCCUGCCUCCCCUGCAGAGGUGGGCAGUAAGCCAGCACGUGCUCGGAUCGAUGAUGACACCCUCACAUGCAUUCCUUGGAAAAUCUGAACAAAAUGAGUGAGAACUCACUACCGUCUCCUCA
Molecule: small RNA, 754 nt
Filed under: Bos taurus (domestic cattle)
Lineage: Eukaryota; Metazoa; Chordata; Mammalia; Artiodactyla; Bovidae
Description: sno-lncRNA2
Rfam family: Small nucleolar RNA SNORD116 (bases 677-754)
Source: RNAcentral